This 250-nucleotide ribosomal RNA is filed under the name uncultured prokaryote. Its description in RNAcentral is "partial 16S rRNA". It matches the Rfam family "Bacterial small subunit ribosomal RNA", at positions 525 to 775 of the family's 1533-position model. The record is from RNAcentral.
ACGUAGGUAGCGAGCGUUAUCCGGAAUUAUUGGGUGUAAAGGGUGCGUAGGCGGCUUGUUAAGUUUAAGGUGAAAGCGUGGGGCUCAACUCCAUAAAGCCAUAGAUACUGUCAAUCUAGAGUACUGGAGAGGGUAGUGGAAUUGCAUGUGUAGCGGUAAAAUGCUUAGAUAUAUUAAGGAACACCGGUUGCGAAGGCAGCUCCCUAAACAGAAACUGACGCUGAUGCACGAAAGCGUGGGGAUCAAAUAG